UACGUAGGGUGCAAGCGUUAAUCGGAAUUACUGGGCGUAAAGCGUGCGCAGGCGGUUCUAUAAGACAGAUGUGAAAUCCCCGGGCUCAACCUGGGAACUGCAUUUGUGACUGUAGAGCUGGAGUGCGGCAGAGGGGGAUGGAAUUCCGCGUGUAGCAGUGAAAUGCGUAGAUAUGCGGAGGAACACCGAUGGCGAAGGCAAUCCCCUGGGACGGUACUGACGCUGAGACGCGAAAGCGUGGGGAGCGAACAGG
RNAcentral lists this ribosomal RNA (253 nucleotides) under uncultured bacterium. Its description in RNAcentral is "partial 16S ribosomal RNA". It matches the Rfam family "Bacterial small subunit ribosomal RNA", at positions 524 to 776 of the family's 1533-position model. The record is from RNAcentral.